GUAGGCUGCAACUCGCCUACAUGAAGUUGGAAUCGCUAGUAAUCGCGAAUCAGAAUGUCGCGGUGAAUACGUUCCCGGGUCUUGUACACACCGCCCGUCACACCAUGGGAGUCAGUAACGCCCGAAGUCAGUGACCUAACCGCAAGGGAGGAGCUGCCGAAGGCGGGACCGAUAACUGGGGUGAAGUCGUAACAAGGUAUC
RNAcentral lists this ribosomal RNA (201 nucleotides) under uncultured bacterium. RNAcentral describes it as "partial 16S ribosomal RNA". It matches the Rfam family "Bacterial small subunit ribosomal RNA", at positions 1300 to 1500 of the family's 1533-position model. The record is from RNAcentral.